UUAAAACAUUGGUUCCCAUAUUAUCACCAAAGUUAAGCAAGAUAGAGCCUAGUCAGUACCUAGAUGAGUGACCGUUUGGGAAUACUAGGUGCUGUAA
Molecule: non-coding RNA, 97 nt
Organism: Acanthosepion pharaonis
Lineage: Eukaryota; Metazoa; Mollusca; Cephalopoda; Sepiida; Sepiidae
Source: the annotation of a GenBank genome assembly